AUUUAUAUAAUAUAUAUAGUAUAUUUGACUUCCAAUCAAAAGGAUUAACAAUUUUAAUAUAAAUAA
RNAcentral lists this transfer RNA (66 nucleotides) under Dasychira tristis. Its description in RNAcentral is "tRNA-Gly". Lineage: Eukaryota; Metazoa; Arthropoda; Insecta; Lepidoptera; Erebidae. The record is from RNAcentral.